ACGAACGCUGGCGGCAUGCCUAACACAUGCAAGUCGAACGAAGGCUUCGGCCUUAGUGGCGCACGGGUGCGUAACGCGUGGGAAUCUGCCCUUUGCUUCGGAAUAACAGUUAGAAAUGACUGCUAAUACCGGAUGAUGUCGCAAGACCAAAGAUUUAUCGGCAAAGGAUGAGCCCGCGUAGGAUUAGCUAGUUGGUGGGGUAAAGGCCUACCAAGGCGACGAUCCUUAGCUGGUCUGAGAGGAUGAUCAGCCACACUGGGACUGAGACACGGCCCAGACUCCUACGGGAGGCAGCAGUGGGGAAUAUUGGACAAUGGGCGAAAGCCUGAUCCAGCAAUGCCGCGUGAGUGAUGAAGGCCUUAGGGUUGUAAAGCUCUUUUACCCGGGAUGAUAAUGACAGUACCGGGAGAAUAAGCUCCGGCUAACUCCGUG
RNAcentral lists this ribosomal RNA (432 nucleotides) under uncultured bacterium. Its description in RNAcentral is "partial 16S ribosomal RNA". It matches the Rfam family "Bacterial small subunit ribosomal RNA", at positions 29 to 507 of the family's 1533-position model. The record is from RNAcentral.